UGUGCCGGAUGUCCCGUCAUGCCAACUCACAACUUGUCAACACUUGUCAAGUUCGAGUGGGUCGAGUCAACUUGUCACAACAUUAGGAAAUGUCUUUUUAAAACACCUCUCCAACGAGCAACACAUCAUAUCCAGUCCAAGAUUACCCAGUUUCAUCUUGGACUGGAUGAUGAUUUGAAAUUUUUGUUGUCAACGCGAGGAGCACCAGCAAGACUAUCCUCAUGAUACCAGAAAGAAGAUGAAAGUUUCUUUCCUGAUAAAAAGCUGAAGAUUGAUUUAAACAUUAUGUUGAAAAUAUCAACCAACAGCUUCACCUCACCAAGUGGAAACUAAAUCUCACAAUGUCUGACACUUGGCAUUGGUAAAUGAAGAAAUGUUAAUUCUUAAUUUUAUCGGUUAUUUUAUGUUUAUUUAUUUUAUCGGUUAUGUAAUUGAACUGCUAAAAUUUAUGCGUCUUGAGAGGCACCUAUCUACACAAGACGAACGUUUAGCAGAACGUUCUUCUUGUGUAGAUCAAUGCCUCUCAAUAUGUCAGUAUCGCGGUUAUUGAUACUCACGGCAUCGAAUAAUUCAGGCCAAUGCUAUAGUUGCAAUGUUAGUUGCUUGUUUAAAUAUGCGCAAGAAUUCAGCAUUUUUUCCGUAUUUUUUUUAAAGCUUGUGAACUUUUUUUUGAAAGCAACAAAUAAAAUUUUUUUAUAUCAACAAAUAUAAAAUUUAUAUUUCAGCAACUUUUACAUUUAAAAUUAACCGUUUUUUUUCUUCUCAUUUUUAUUAUUAAUGAAGAAAAAGAAUGAUAAAAAUGAGAAGAGAAAAAAAAUAGUUAAUUUUAAAUAUAAAAAUUCUUGGAGUAUAAGUUUUGUAUUUUUUGAUGACAGCAGGAGAAUGCCCUGACAGUUUUUAUACAGACAUGAUAAUGCUGCCAAAGAAAAUGAUUACUGUAAUGGCACUCUCCUGCUGGUUAAACAAAAAACAAAAAUAACUUGUAAAAAUGAAUAUAUAAGGUAAUGAUGCUAUUUGCAUUUUGAAUUUUGUUAAAUACAAUUCUAAUAAUUGACUUUUAAUUAAUUUUAUUGAAAACGAAUUGGCUAUUGACUUGUAUUAGUUAACUUUUUGAAAUUGUUGAUAAAUAAUACUACUCGUUAGCCUCAACCGUUGAAAAAAAUAGGUGAAGAUAAAACUUAAAUUAAUGACUAAUUAAUUAUUUAUUAAAAGAUACAUCGAAAGAUAGAUAUACAAUUGAGGUAAUCAGCUUUAUUAUAAUAACAAAUAUAAAAACCUUUGAGUUCAAAGUCACAUAAUUCAAGAUCCCUUUAGCAAAUUUAUGAGAAGCAGAAAUUUUUUUUUGAAUUAAAUGAAUAGGAUUCAAAGGUAUAAUCAUCUUUUAAAUUGGAAGAUUUGCAUUUUAAUAAUAUAUUGAUACUAUAGUGAUUGCAAUGAAAGAUUAUUUACAAUUAUUGUGCAGAUAUUUGUAAAUAAUUAAUUAUUCCCACCAAUUUUUACAUUUAAAAUUAACUGUUUUUUUUUUCUUCUCAUUUUUAUUAUAAUAAAAAUGAGAAGAAAACAAAAUAGUUAAUUUUAAAUAUAAAAAUUUUUGGAGUUUAAUUUUGUAUUUAUUGAUGAUCAGCAGAAGAGUGCCCUGACAGUUUUUACACAGACAUGAUAAUGCUGUCAAGAAAUUUGAUUACUGUCAUGGCAUUCUUCUGCUGGUUACCCCUUAGACAAAUAAUAGUUAUUAAUAAUAUAACUAUCAUCAUUACUUUAUAUGUUAAUUUUCAGAGGUUCUUUUUAUUUUUUAUUAAAAUACAUAAAUAAAUAACAUAAAAAAUAAUAGAUUGAAAAGACACAUAAAAUUUGAAAAUUUUUAUUUUAUUUAUUACUUUUAUUAUACACAAUAUUGUUUAAAAUCAUGUACAUAUUUAUAAACUUCUUGAUCGAUUGAAUAAUUCAUUAUAAUAAUUUUAUAUUAAUUUCGAGAUUAUAUAUAUUUAAUAAUACAAAAGAAAAAAAAAAAAAAAAACUGAAAUAUUUCCAGUAUUAUUCUUAACAAAAACAUUAAAUUUGUAAAUAUAUAUAUUUGAGGGUCCAGAUUCUAAAAAGACUCAAGCACUUGGAACUCAAUUGUAACGCUCAAGUCUUUUCAAAAUCCAGAUCCUUAUUUGUAAAAAAUAAAAAACAAACAUAGCAAAAGUUAUGGAAAUUAAAAUGAUAAAAAUAUCGAAAUGGCUGAUUAAUUAAAAAACAAAUCGAAAAUUAUUUUUUGCCAUUUUUACAAACAUACUUUCACGAUAUUGAUAAACUACUCGAUGAUUUAAUAAAAAAAAAAAAAAUAUGCCAUU
Long non-coding RNA from Aphidius gifuensis, 2336 nucleotides. RefSeq lists it as uncharacterized. The transcript has 4 exons. Lineage: Eukaryota; Metazoa; Arthropoda; Insecta; Hymenoptera; Braconidae. The record is from RefSeq and is a predicted model, not a curated record.